AGCAAUCUUCGUGAGUUCGUCGAUCCAAGGUAAGAGAGUAGAUUUCAUAUUCGUGGGUGACUCGAGGAAGGGGAGAAUGUCGAUUUCUCCUCACCCGAACUUCCUCCACCCCAUUUUCAUUUUAGUUUUGGAUGGAUUUUCUUAAUGGAAAUCGAUUCUAAGGUUCAUAACAUGCUUAAUAUGCUUUUAACAUGAUGUAUGAACGAAUUUAAUGGUUAGAAACGAAGUUUAUGAAUGAUUAAACUCAAGAACUUUGUGUUCUUGAGAGUUUUGAGUAAAAGUGUUAAAUCUCUACUUUUUCGUAGUAAAAAUGGUAGAUCGGUGAAAUGAACCGUCCUUUUGUGU
Molecule: long non-coding RNA, 345 nt
Filed under: Trifolium pratense (red clover)
Lineage: Eukaryota; Viridiplantae; Streptophyta; Magnoliopsida; Fabales; Fabaceae
Description: long non-coding RNA (TPRA_LNC013289)
Source: RNAcentral